RNAcentral lists this ribosomal RNA (253 nucleotides) under uncultured bacterium. RNAcentral describes it as "partial 16S ribosomal RNA". It matches the Rfam family "Bacterial small subunit ribosomal RNA", at positions 524 to 776 of the family's 1533-position model. The record is from RNAcentral.
UACGGAGGGUGCAAGCGUUGUUCGGAUUCAUUGGGCGUAAAGCGAGUGUAGGCGGUUUGACAAGUCGGAUGUGAAAUCCCGGGGCCCAACCCCGGAACUGCACCCGAUACUGUCUGGCUAGAGUCCCGGAGAGGGUGGCGGAAUUCCCGGUGUAGGGGUGAAAUCCGUAGAUAUCGGGAGGAACACCAGUGGCGAAGGCGGCCACCUGGACGGUGACUGACGCUGAGACUCGACAGCGUGGGUAGCAAACAGG